GGAGGGAUGGUCUAGACUGGUUAUGAUACCUGCCUUACACGCAGGGGGCCGUGGGUUCGAAUCCCAUUCCCUCCA
RNAcentral lists this transfer RNA (75 nucleotides) under Nitrosopumilales archaeon. RNAcentral's name for it is "tRNA-Val". It matches the Rfam family "tRNA". From Rfam's summary of the family: Transfer RNA (tRNA) molecules are approximately 80 nucleotides in length. Their secondary structure includes four short double-helical elements and three loops (D, anti-codon, and T loops). Further hydrogen bonds mediate the characteristic L-shaped molecular structure. tRNAs have two regions of fundamental functional importance: the anti-codon, which is responsible for specific mRNA codon recognition, and the 3' end, to which the tRNAs corresponding amino acid is attached (by aminoacyl-tRNA synthetases). tRNAs cope with the degeneracy of the genetic code in two manners: having more than one tRNA (with a specific anti-codon) for a particular amino acid; and 'wobble' base-pairing, i.e. permitting non-standard base-pairing at the 3rd anti-codon position. The record is from RNAcentral. RNAcentral also lists the same sequence under 5 other names. Lineage: Archaea; Thermoproteati; Nitrososphaerota; Nitrososphaeria; Nitrosopumilales.